This 340-nucleotide long non-coding RNA is filed under the name Trifolium pratense (red clover). Its description in RNAcentral is "long non-coding RNA (TPRA_LNC014079)". Lineage: Eukaryota; Viridiplantae; Streptophyta; Magnoliopsida; Fabales; Fabaceae. The record is from RNAcentral.
UUCUGGAGGAUUAUGCACAGGUAAGAAACUGAUUCUCUUGGGCAUAGAUUCAACGGUACAAUUUCUAUCAGCUAAUACGAAGUUAUUGCUACACAUCUAGUGAAAAACUCUGGAAACGCCAUAUUCAGAGAGCCUUGCUGAGAAAGCAAAAAUGUUAAUAGAAAAAACUGUAAAAGAAUGUUGUAUUGUAUUGUAGAUUAUCUUUUGGGAGGAUUUGAUUCUUAGCAAGUAAUUUCUGUUAGAUAGUAAAGUAAGAGACGUCAACCAUGGAUUAGAAAAACAUUGGAGUACAUGUUAAUAAAUUUAUUAUAUAUUUACAUGCAAUAUUAGAAAAGUCAAA